Molecule: transfer RNA, 72 nt
Organism: Ovis aries (sheep)
Lineage: Eukaryota; Metazoa; Chordata; Mammalia; Artiodactyla; Bovidae
Rfam family: tRNA
About the family: Transfer RNA (tRNA) molecules are approximately 80 nucleotides in length. Their secondary structure includes four short double-helical elements and three loops (D, anti-codon, and T loops). Further hydrogen bonds mediate the characteristic L-shaped molecular structure. tRNAs have two regions of fundamental functional importance: the anti-codon, which is responsible for specific mRNA codon recognition, and the 3' end, to which the tRNAs corresponding amino acid is attached (by aminoacyl-tRNA synthetases). tRNAs cope with the degeneracy of the genetic code in two manners: having more than one tRNA (with a specific anti-codon) for a particular amino acid; and 'wobble' base-pairing, i.e. permitting non-standard base-pairing at the 3rd anti-codon position.
Source: Rfam
UCCCUGGUGGCUCAGAUGGUAAAGAACCUGCCUGCAGUGCAGGAUACCCAAGUUCAAAUCUUGGGUCGGGAA